RNAcentral lists this long non-coding RNA (210 nucleotides) under Mytilus galloprovincialis (Mediterranean mussel). Lineage: Eukaryota; Metazoa; Mollusca; Bivalvia; Mytilida; Mytilidae. The record is from RNAcentral.
GUCCAUCUGAUGAGUUAAGCCUUUUUCAACUGAUUUUUAUAGUUCGUUCUUAUGUUGUACUGCUAUACCACUGUCCCAGGUUAGGGGGAGUGUUGGGAUCCCGCUAACAUGUUUAACCCCGCCACAUUAUUUAUGUAUGUGCCUGUCCCAAGUCAGGAGCCUGUAAUUCAGUGGUUGUCGUUUGUUUAUGUGUUACAUAUUUGUUUUUCG